This is a long non-coding RNA of Mirounga angustirostris (Northern elephant seal), 425 nucleotides long. RefSeq lists it as uncharacterized. Lineage: Eukaryota; Metazoa; Chordata; Mammalia; Carnivora; Phocidae. The transcript has 3 exons. The record is from RefSeq and is a predicted model, not a curated record.
CAUUGUCCUUUGGAAUCCUCCUGUGAUCUCUAUCCUAGAUAAAAGAGAUUAACAGAAGUGUUGAAAACAACUUCCACAUCACGUAGCUAGCAUCCUCUGACAACCCACUUCAAGGAGGACUUUGACCAGAGUCCCGGAGAGUGAAGAAUGUGAUGCGGGACAAAGGUGGGCGAGGAGCCUGACUGACCCAGUUUUCUCAGGACCCUCACUCGCAUGGACUCAGAGCUCAGGAAGUCCAGCCAGAAGAGACGCAGACGACAGGCUGUGCUGGGAGAUCCUCCAGCUCCAAGAGAACAGCAGCCUCCAGACCCCUCUAGUGUCCCUGCUUGCGAACCCCACCUGGGAGUGGGAAGGAUGGCCAACAGGCGGAAGGAACUAGGCAAACAUAAUGCUUCCUUCUGGUUCUUCAAACACGCCACCUGCUU